CCUACGGGGUGCAGCAGUGGGGGAUAUUGCACAAUGGGGGAAACCCUGAUGCAGCGACGCCGCGUGUGGGAAGACGGUCCUCUGGAUUGUAAACCACUGUCCCCAGGGACGAAGAUGACGGUACCUGGGGAGGAAGCUCCGGCUAACUACGUGCCAGCAGCCGCGGUAAUACGUAGGGAGCGAGCGUUGUCCGGAAUUACUGGGUGAAAAGGGAGCGUAGGCGGGACUGCAAGUUGGGUGUCAAAUCUACCGGCGCAACCGGUAGCCGCACUUAAAGCUGCAGUUCUUGAGUGAAGUAGAGGCAGGCGGAAUUCCUAGUGUAGCGGUGAAAUGCGUAGAUAUUAGGAGGAACACCAGUGGCGAAGGCGGCCUGCUGGGCUUUUACUGACGCUGAGGCUCGAAAGUGUGGGGAGCAAACAGGAUUAGAUACCCGUGUAGUC
This 440-nucleotide ribosomal RNA is filed under the name uncultured bacterium. RNAcentral describes it as "partial 16S ribosomal RNA". It matches the Rfam family "Bacterial small subunit ribosomal RNA", at positions 338 to 795 of the family's 1533-position model. The record is from RNAcentral.